This 74-nucleotide transfer RNA is filed under the name Nylanderia flavipes. RNAcentral describes it as "tRNA-His". The record is from RNAcentral. Lineage: Eukaryota; Metazoa; Arthropoda; Insecta; Hymenoptera; Formicidae.
AUUUAAGUAGUUUAAAUAAAAAUUUUAAUGUGUGGAAUUAAAGAUAUAUAAGUUAAUAAAAAUUAUCUUAAAUA